This 784-nucleotide ribosomal RNA is filed under the name uncultured bacterium. RNAcentral's name for it is "bacterial SSU rRNA". It matches the Rfam family "Bacterial small subunit ribosomal RNA", at positions 8 to 796 of the family's 1533-position model. The record is from RNAcentral.
AGAGUUUGAUCAUGGCUCAGGACGAACGCUGGCGGCGUGCUUAACACAUGCAAGUCGAACGGAAAGGCCCUUCGGGGUACUCGAGUGGCGAACGGGUGAGUAACACGUGGGUGAUCUGCCCUGCACUUUGGGAUAAGCCUGGGAAACUGGGUCUAAUACCGAAUACUUCCUGCUGGUUGCAUGACUGGUGGGGGAAAGCUUUUGCGGUGUGGGAUGGGCCCGCGGCCUAUCAGCUUGUUGGUGGGGUCACGGCCUACCAAGGCUCCGACGGGUAGCCGGCCUGAGAGGGUGUCCGGCCACACUGGGACUGAGAUACGGCCCAGACUCCUACGGGAGGCAGCAGUGGGGAAUAUUGCACAAUGGGCGCAAGCCUGAUGCAGCGACGCCGCGUGGGGGAUGACGGCCUUCGGGUUGUAAACCUCUUUCACCAUCGACGAAGGUCCGGGUUUUCUCGGAUUGACGGUAGGUGGAGAAGAAGCACCGGCCAACUACGUGCCAGCAGCCGCGGUAAUACGUAGGGUGCGAGCGUUGUCCGGAAUUACUGGGCGUAAAGAGCUCGUAGGUGGUUUGUCGCGUUGUUCGUGAAAACUCACGGCUUAACUGUGAGCGUGCGGGCGAUACGGGCAGACUGGAGUACUGCAGGGGAGACUGGAAUUCCUGGUGUAGCGGUGGAAUGCGCAGAUAUCAGGAGGAACACCGGUGGCGAAGGCGGGUCUCUGGGCAGUAACUGACGCUGAGGAGCGAAAGCGUGGGGAGCGAACAGGAUUAGAUACCCUAGUAGUCC